Molecule: transfer RNA, 66 nt
Filed under: Typhlatya arfeae
Lineage: Eukaryota; Metazoa; Arthropoda; Malacostraca; Decapoda; Atyidae
Description: tRNA-Cys
Source: RNAcentral
GGCUUUGUAGUGGAAGAAAGACGCCAGGCUGCAAUCUUGGAGAUGUGAUAUUUAUUACCUUAGCCU